This is a long non-coding RNA of Sus scrofa (pig), 1157 nucleotides long. RefSeq lists it as uncharacterized. The record is from RefSeq and is a predicted model, not a curated record. Lineage: Eukaryota; Metazoa; Chordata; Mammalia; Artiodactyla; Suidae.
CGAAUGCGGCCGCCGCCUUGGAAACGGCGAGGGAGCGCGGGUGGUGUGUGCAUGUCUGCGUCUCGGUGGCAGGCAGGGGUGAGCCCAGCCACUCACCUUCCAGGAAGCGUGGAUUCCUGGAAGUGAGGGGAACCGCCGUCAUUUCGCAGGCAGCGGCAGCGGCACGGUGCUCCAUGACACAUCUUGGGCAAAAUCAGCCUUUAGCUGCCUACAACUGGUCUAAGUGCCAAGUUGGUAGCCCUGGGAGUGAGAUAGGAUUGAGAUUCUGCUGUUCCAGAUCCUGGUAUUCCGAGAGCCAGGAGUGCAUCAGGAGAUGUACUUCACUGUUUGCUCAAGUCUCCAGUGAUUAUUAACAAGACAGAACUUCCCACCUGCCUGGGAUGGAGCGGUUCAGGUACUACAAGUACACCAAACCCAGAGCAUCAUCCUCUCCUGCCUGCGCCUUCCUGAACUGAAUGAAAUCUGAGCAAAAAUAUGUUGGAACCACAUAGCCGGCUCUGCUCUUUAUCAGGACUAUGCAUAACUGCAGAAGGGUAAGGGGCAAAGGCUUGAGGGAAAAGGUGAAAACAGGCCUUGUCUGCAACCUGACUAUAUGCCCCUUUCCAGGAACCAGGCCUUGACAUCGGGCAAAUGGCAGCUCUGAAAUGAUCUUUCGGGUCCAUGUAGUGCCCUCUGAAGGAAACCCACCAAUCUUUUCUCUGCUUAUGUGUCUGUAUUUACAGCAGAAAGAUCUGACUCAGCGUUCCCAUAGUGACACAACAAGAUUGGCAGCAUCUCUGCAGUGCCAGGAUGCAGGUUCGAUCCUUGGCCUGGCACAGUGGGUUAAAGGCUCUGGUAUUGCCACAGCUGUGGUAUAUGUCACAACUGCAGCUCAGAUCUGAUCCCUGGCCUGGAAACUCCAUAUGCAGCAGGGUGAGCAAGAAAGAAAGAAAGAGAGAGAGAGAGAAAGAAAGGAAGGAAAGGAAGGAAGGAAGGAAGAUCUGACUCAUUUUCUCACCAGGUUGUGGAUAGUGACCUUCUGUCUACAUGCAACACAGAUGAAGACAGCUCAGCUUCGUUAUCCAAGUGCUUGGGGAGCAAUGCGGAGGGGAUGAGUGCCCAGGUCACCCUAGGAAUGGCCAGUCUCUAAAAUAAAAAGGGGAAAGAGCUGGAAACAC